This 3167-nucleotide long non-coding RNA is filed under the name Nicotiana tabacum (common tobacco). RNAcentral describes it as "long non-coding RNA (NTAB_LNC013988)". Lineage: Eukaryota; Viridiplantae; Streptophyta; Magnoliopsida; Solanales; Solanaceae. The record is from RNAcentral.
UUUUUUUAAAAGUUUCUUUUGGCUAAAAACAUGGCCCACGUUUUUAGGAGAAAUUUGGGUAUAUACUAAUAUAUCAAAUCCCUAAUUCCUAAAAACAAACUUCACAUUCAGUCUCCCUCUCAACUCACUCUCUAUCGGUUCUAGCAUCUGUAAAUGGAUUCUUCAAGAAGCAACAUUUCUUCUCCACAAUAAAAUUCUUAGCCUCAGGUAUCUAACUACUCUCUCUUUGCUCUGUAUUUUAAUUCUCUCGCUGCAGCUUUAUUGAAUAACUUGCUCAAAUCCAAACACAAUUAAAGUGUCAAACAUACAUGUACAAAACUACAAAUGCCUAAUUUUUGUGCUAUAACUUCUUCAUCUGUUAACUGACAUGCUUUAAUAUGAUUGAUUUGAAUUUAACAAUUUAUUUGAAUUAAGAUAGAUUAAAUAGAAGUGUGAAUAUUUAAUUUUGUAGGAACGAUCCAUAAGAUUAAAAUGGAUAGAUUUCUCACUAAGCCGAAAAAUGGUGCAUCCAUAUUCCUAAAAUCCCUCUCCUUUUCUGUAUUAAGUUUUUUUUUUAAGUUUCUUUUGGCUAAAAACAUGGCCCACGUUUUUAGGAGGAAUUUGGGUAUAUACUAAUAUAUCAAAUCCCUAAUUCCUAAAAACAAACUUCACAUUCUGUCUCCCUCUCAACUCACUCUCUAUCGGUUCUAGCAUCUGUAAAUGGAUUCUUCAAGAAGCAACAUUUCUUCUCCACGACCACGUUCCUGUAAAAUUUUUAGCCGUAGGUAUCUAACUACUCUCUCCUUGUUCUGUAUUUUAAUUCUCUCGCUGCAACUUUAUUGAAUAACUUGCUCAAAUCCAAACACAAUUAAGGUGUCAAACAUACAUGAACAGAACUAUAAAUGCCUAAUUUUUGUGCUAUAACUUCUUCAUCUAAUGACUGACAUGCUUUAAUAUGAUUGAUUUGAAUUUAACAAUUUAUUUGAAUUAAGAUAGAUUAAAUAGAAGUGUGAAUAUUUAAUUUUGUAGGAACGAUUCAUAAGAUUAAAAUAGAUAGAUUUCUCACCAAGCCGAAAAAUGAUGUACCCAUAUUCUUAAAAUCCUGUAUACGCCUCUGUUCUCGAACUAUAUUGAACUGGCAGUAUAUUUUUUUAUAAGCGUAAUGCUGAUUUUAGAUAAUGAUUGUCAACAAAUUAAUAAUGCAACUUAUGAUCACCCGGCAUUGUCAAUAGUUUACUAAGAAUUGAGCAUAUUAAAAAAAAAAGAUUUAUACUCAUAGGACAGAUAUAAGGAAAUUCUUGAACACAAAAUAAAGAAUCUACACAUAAGAUCCCCUGUUACGAGAACUGGCCCUUUCUUCUAGACCAACCAAUAGAAGAGGGUGCGGGUCAAUUUCACAUCUUUGUGCCUUUUAAUUACUCGUAACACACAUCCAUACAUCUAUAUAUAAAAAUAAAACUGAAAAUUGGCCAGCUGAUGUGGCAUCCCUAUACGGUCGCUUUCAUAUUUAUCUUUUUUCUGAUUUUUUGAGAUUUUCCUCUAAUUUUAAUACCCAAAAAUCAAUUACUACCUAAAACUAAUAAUGAAAUAGAUGAGACUUAUGGAUGAGAAGAUUUCAGUUAUGGAAUAUAAAGAGAGAAUAAUUAAUUGUGACAAUUAACCAGUGUUUUAAAAGGCGUGGGCGUAAGGCGAGACGUUUUACAUAUGCCUCAGCGAGGCGUAAGCCCCGAGGCACGGGACGUAAGUCCCAUAGAUAUUUAAUUUUUAGUAUUUNNNNNNNNNNNNNNNNNNNNNNNNNGGAGAAUAUAGCUCUCUUUGUAUUUGUAAAAAAAAAAAAAUAUUCGUUGCUUUUGGGAGAUAUUAGCAAACUAGCAGACAAGAUAAAAAAUUGGGAAAGACCAUGAAUCAGGGCUUCAAUCAAUAAAAAAGGUCUUGACUUUUAAAUUUAAUACGUUUGAGUUCCUUUUAUAAACCUUUUGAGUAAUUACCAAACUGACUUUUGAGAAUUUGGGUAUUAUAUGAAGGACUUAUUAAACAAAUUUUAUUUUAAUUUGAAAAAGUUUCUGGGGCUUACUCCUCACUAAAACAAAACGCGCCCCGAACGCCCGGGCAUACCCCCGAACGCUCGGGCAUACGCCCCAAAUUGCUGGGCGUAUGCCUCUUGAGACUUUCGCCCCACACCAUCGCCCCGAGAUGUUUUUGGUACGCCUCGCCCCGAAAACGCCUUUUAAAUUAGUGCAAUUAACAAUAUAAUAUCAUAUCAGUCGCCUUACCGAUUCGUAUUUAUUUAUUAUUUAUUGUGCAAAUAAAGAAAGUAAUGAAGAAUUGUAUUAAUGGUAGUGAAAAGUGAUAAGAGAACAGUGAGGAAUCAUAAUAUAAAAGGUAAUCACUUUGCUAUUGGCUCAUAUAAACCCCUUUACUUUGCUUCCUCCAAUAAUCCGAAGCAUAUGCAAACUAGGCCAUUAAAGGUACUUAUCUUUUCUUUCUUUUUUAUUUUCCUUAUUCAUCUAAAUUAUUGUUUACCUAAUUUUUAGAAGCCCUAAUGUCUCUAGUUAUAACAUUCAACUUUUUCCCUUUUAUAAUUAUUUAUUUACUUCUUUUAACUUCCAUUUGUUAAAAGAAAUAAAUGUAGCGAAGACUCUCCAUCAUCAAAAUCUCAAUUUCUAAAUAUCUUCUGGGGAGAAAAUGCAACCGAAGCUGCAAAGGAGAGUAUGUAAGACAAUGUUAGAUCCUCUAGCUUAUCAUUUUCGACAAAUAUUUCUAAGGAUUGAAUAUCUAACAUCAUUAGGUUCUGUGCUCCUGAUUGUUGUUAAAGAUCGAUAUCAUUUUCUAUCAAUAAUGUUUAUUAGUCAUAUGUAAUAUUUAAAAAAUAUAUUGCUUCAAAUGUACGGAGUUUGUGUUUCUCAAGCUGAAGGCAAAAACAUUGACGGACGCAAAUAAGACAACCACAAGAUAGAAAGUCACGGCCAAUUAGAACUUCUCCAUAAAUUAUUCCACAUAUGCAAUGCACCAGAAAUUCAAAGGACCAUUUAGGAGGAGAAAUGGUUAACAUUGUAUGCAAACAUAUGGACUUGUAUAUGUGAAUAUUUUUAAUGUAUUUAUCAUGAUGAUCAAUUUUGAUACCCGCUUGAUAUACUUUUUCUAUGGCAUGUUAUGGAUAUUUGACUUGUAUGUAAAUUCAAACAAAG